AAUUUUGGACAAUGGGCGCAAGCCUGAUCCAGCCAUGCCGCGUGAGUGAAGAAGGCCUUCGGGUUGUAAAGCCCUUUCGCACGGAAAGAAAUCGCGCAUUCUAAUACCCUACGCGGCUGACGGUACCGUCAUAAGAAGCACCGGCUCACUACGUUCCUGCAGCCGCGGUAAGACGUAGGGUGCGAGCGUUAAUCGGAAUUACUUGGCGUAAAGCGUGCGCAGGCGGUUGAAUAAGACAGGCGUGAAAUCCCCGGGCUUAACCUGGGAACUGCGCUUGUGACUGGUCAGCUAGAGUACGGCAGAGGGGGGUGGAAUGCCACGUGUAGCAGUGAAAUGCGUAGAGAUGUGGAGGAACACCGAUGGCGAAGGCAGCCCCCUGGGCCGAUACUGACGCUCAUGCACGAAAGCGUGGGUAGCAAACAGG
RNAcentral lists this ribosomal RNA (424 nucleotides) under uncultured bacterium. RNAcentral's name for it is "partial 16S ribosomal RNA". It matches the Rfam family "Bacterial small subunit ribosomal RNA", at positions 360 to 776 of the family's 1533-position model. The record is from RNAcentral.